GAUGAACGCUGGCGGCGUGCCUAAUACAUGCAAGUCGAGCGAACAGACGAGGAGCUUGCUCCUCUGACGUUAGCGGCGGACGGGUGAGUAACACGUGGAUAACCUACCUAUAAGACUGGGAUAACUUCGGGAAACCGGAGCUAAUACCGGAUAAUAUUUUGAACCGCAUGGUUCAAUAGUGAAAGACGGUUUUGCUGUCACUUAUAGAUGGAUCCGCGCCGCAUUAGCUAGUUGGUAAGGUAACGGCUUACCAAGGCAACGAUGCGUAGCCGACCUGAGAGGGUGAUCGGCCACACUGGAACUGAGACACGGUCCAGACUCCUACGGGAGGCAGCAGUAGGGAAUCUUCCGCAAAGGGCGAAAGCCUGACGGAGCAACGCCGCGUGAGUGAUGAAGGUCUUCGGAUCGUAAAACUCUGUUAUUAGGGAAGAACAAAUGUGUAAGUAACUAUGCACGUCUUGACGGUACCUAAUCAGAAAGCCACGGCUAACUACGUG
Molecule: ribosomal RNA, 497 nt
Filed under: uncultured bacterium
Lineage: Bacteria
Description: partial 16S ribosomal RNA
Rfam family: Bacterial small subunit ribosomal RNA
Source: RNAcentral